Molecule: long non-coding RNA, 752 nt
Filed under: Mytilus galloprovincialis (Mediterranean mussel)
Lineage: Eukaryota; Metazoa; Mollusca; Bivalvia; Mytilida; Mytilidae
Source: RNAcentral
GUGUCGCUUCUCUUCUUUCCAGAAUAAAUUAAUCAACACGCCUCUGUGUCCUAUAGGUACAGUGCAUAGUCGCAUUUGUCAUCCAUUCAUAUGACUAUUCAGAUUGAGUUAUUUUAGGAGAAAAACGAGAAAAAAGGCAUCCGGAUAUUGUCCCGUCAUUGUACGAAAUUUUAAGUCAGAUUAGACUUCCGGUUGCGUUUUUCUGUAUACUUUGAACAUACAUAUACUACGAAUAAAGUGUAUUUUCAGAAUUUUAUCUGCUAUCAUUUUCAAGUUUACUAUCCACGGUGGUCACAGAGUUUAUUAAAUAGAGAGGGUCUGUAUACUAUAUCAAUGAUCACCAUGGAUUGAUUAGUAAACUUAGAAUUGAAAGUAAAUACGCUUUAUUUAUAUAGUAAUGAAUGUUCAUAAUAUACAGAUAAGCGCUAAAAUUAUUCAUGUGAACUUUUGAUACUUUUUCUCCAGUCAUUAAAUCUUUUACAAAAUUCAUUGAUUACAUAAAAAAAAAGAAGAUAUGUGGUAUGAUUGCCAUGUUAAGACAACUCUCCACAAGAGACCAAAAUGACACAGAUAUUAACAACUAUAGGUCACCGUACGGCCUUCAACAAAGAGCAAAGCCCAUACCGCAUACUCAGCUUCAAAAGGCCCGAAAUGACAAUGUAAAACAAUGCAAACGAGAAAACUAGCGGCCUUAUUUAUGUACAAAAAAUGAACGAAAAACAAAUAUGUAACACAUAAACAAACGACAACCG